AUCAGACAAACAGUUUAAUGUUUGUUUACCAAUACACAAAUCAUAAUGUAAUAUAAUUUUGUAAAUAAAAACUAAUAGGAAGUACAUUUGGAAAACCUAUUGGUUGUCAUUUGAAGGACAGAAGCUAACAGAGAAUCAUCAACCUCUCACAUAAAGUCUGUACGGAAAAUGAAACUCACAAGAUUCUACCUGAGGCAAAACAUAGAACCCUUGGGCAGUUUAUGCAUAUGCAUUGGUAGUCUCCCAGUUGCCUUGACACAAGCAAAUACAAAAUUUUGAUUGGCAACAUUCUAGGAGAAACCUGGACUGUUCCCCCCUGGAAGCCAACCCCUUCUAGUACUGGUAAACUCCAAAAGUGGUGGCGGUCAGGGGGCAGACAUGUUCACAGCUUUCCAGAGACUGCUCAACCCUAAUCAAGUGUACAGCCUCUUAGAGGGAGGCCAUUAUCAGGAGUUUAUGCUUUCAGAUCUAUUUCUGAUUUUCGUGUCUUGAUCUGUGGUGGUGAUGGCACAGUUGGCUGGGUGCUGACAUGUUUGGAUGAUGUUGUUCAAGAGAUGAAGUGUAAGCUACCUGCAUCAGCAGUUCUUCCUCUUGGCAUUGGUAAUGAUCUCUCUCGUGUUCUCCAUUGGGGAGGUGGUUACUCUGGUGGCUAGAGUCCUGUAUCGCUUCUCAUGGCCGUUGAUCAGGCACACGAAGUGUUUCUUGAUAGAUGGUGUGUCAUGUUUGAUUCAGCGGACACUAACGACGGUGCGCUUGGCUCGAUGGGAAGAAGAGAAGACAAUCCUAGUAUUUUUACCAUGAAUAAUUACUUUGGGAACGGAAUUGGAGCUGAGCUUUGUUUAGAUUUUCAUCUCCAGAGGGAGGAAGCACCUGAUAAAUUCCAUAGCAGGUGAGGAUACAAAGGAUUCAAUUUACAGGUUACAAAAUUAGUCGUAGUGCCUUCGAUCGAAGAAAAAGAGUGUUGAUUGCGAAAGCCAUUGGAUGGUAACAAAG
Long non-coding RNA from Pocillopora damicornis (cauliflower coral), 993 nucleotides. The record is from RefSeq and is a predicted model, not a curated record. Lineage: Eukaryota; Metazoa; Cnidaria; Anthozoa; Scleractinia; Pocilloporidae.